This 361-nucleotide transfer-messenger RNA is filed under the name bacterium. RNAcentral's name for it is "JAFGMA01 sp016927835 Standard tmRNA". It matches the Rfam family "transfer-messenger RNA". Rfam says of the family: Bacterial tmRNA, also known as 10Sa RNA or SsrA, is named for its dual tRNA and mRNA-like properties. Its role is to liberate the mRNA from a stalled ribosome. To accomplish this part of the tmRNA is used as a reading frame that ends in a translation stop signal. RNAcentral also lists the same sequence under 1 other name. The record is from RNAcentral.
GGGGACGACAUGGUUUCGACGGGAGCCGAGGAGUUGAGAAUAGCAUGUCGAGGACUCCGGAACCUCGAAAAUCACCCGGAAACAAAAAUUAAACGCAGAUAACUAUGCGUAUGCAAUGGCUGCCUAAUUAAGCAGCCCGCUCCAACUUGAUUUUACCUGUCGAAUCUGGUUGCGAGUGUCGACUCCUGACAGGUUAGUCAUCUGUUGCGCCUUCGGAUAGAUGAUGAAAUUUUAGCGGGCUGGCUAUCUCAGGUUUUGUCGGUUGCACCUGAAAUAGCGAGAUUCAAACAACCAACUAAGCAUGUAGAAAUUCUCAAUGAAUGACUUUCGGACGCGGGUUCGAUUCCCGCCGUCUCCAUCC